GUGUUGUAUGAAAGCAGAGAAGGCUAGCACUCCCCUUGAUCAGGCUAGAAGAGGCUUUGGUUUGCAACAUGUAUGCGAUUAAGGCAUUGCCCCCUGCUUUGUGGCAUUGAACCUACAACAGUCUUUUUU
This is a small nuclear RNA of Erinaceus europaeus (western European hedgehog), 129 nucleotides long. Lineage: Eukaryota; Metazoa; Chordata; Mammalia; Eulipotyphla; Erinaceidae. The record is from RefSeq and is a predicted model, not a curated record.